AACUUUAAUGUCUUUCGAUCGACAUAGCUCUGCACACUGCUGAGUUAGCUGAUUUGUAGUUAUAGACUUUAGUUUAUCUUCAUUAGUCUUUAGCUUUUCUAUCUCAUUACCCAUACUGUCCACUUUCAUUGAAAGUGUAGUUAGGAUGUUGAGUAUUUUUUCUAGAGUAUCUUCUUCUAUUAUAUCAGUCUAUGUAGCUUUGUCUUGAUAUGUAAUCUGCAAUAACAUUUUUGUUAGUACUAAUUACUUCAAUUAUAA
Molecule: long non-coding RNA, 258 nt
Filed under: Capsicum annuum
Lineage: Eukaryota; Viridiplantae; Streptophyta; Magnoliopsida; Solanales; Solanaceae
Description: long non-coding RNA (CANN_LNC011865)
Source: RNAcentral